CUACGGAGGGUGCAAGCGUUAUUCGGAAUCACUGGGCGUAAAGGACGCGUAGGCGGGUUGGCAAGUCAGAUGUGAAAUCCUACAGCUUAACUGUAGAACUGCAUUUGAAACUGCUAACCUAGAGUAUGGGAGGGGGAGAUGGAAUUAGUGGUGUAGAGGUAAAAUCCGUAGAUAUCACUAGGAAUACCGAAAGCGAAGGCGAUCUCCUGGAACAUAACUGACGCUAAGGCGUGAAAGCGUGGGGAGCAAACAGGAUUAGAAACCCUAGUAGUCC
This 274-nucleotide ribosomal RNA is filed under the name uncultured bacterium. Its description in RNAcentral is "partial 16S ribosomal RNA". It matches the Rfam family "Bacterial small subunit ribosomal RNA", at positions 523 to 796 of the family's 1533-position model. The record is from RNAcentral.